RNAcentral lists this ribosomal RNA (519 nucleotides) under uncultured eukaryote. RNAcentral's name for it is "SSU rRNA". It matches the Rfam family "Eukaryotic small subunit ribosomal RNA", at positions 1161 to 1706 of the family's 1831-position model. The record is from RNAcentral.
AGGACACUACCAGGAGUGGAUCCUGCGGCUCAGUUUGACUCAACACGGGAAAGCUCACCUGGUCCGGACACUGGAAGGAUUGACAGAUUAAGAGCUCUUUCUUGAUUCAGUGGGUGGUGGUGCAUGGCCGUUCUUAGUUGGUGGAGCGAUUUGUCUGGUUAAUUCCGAUAACGAACGAGACUCUAGCCUACUAAAUAGGUGUUCCGAUCCCAUCAGUCGGACGCUCUUCUUAGAGGGACAAGCGGCGUUUAGCCGCACGAGACAGAGCAAUAACAGGUCUGUGAUGCCCUUAGAUGUCCGGGGCCGCACGCGCGCUACACUGAAGGAACCAGCGUGUGUCCCUGUCCGGCAGGACUGGGUAAUCCGUUGAACCUCCUUCGUGAUAGGGAUAGGGGCUUGUAAUUGUUCCCCUUGAACGAGGAAUUCCCAGUAAGCGUGAAUCAUCAGUUCACGUUGAUUACGUCCCUGGCCUUUGUACACACCGCCCGUCGCUACUACUGAUUGGAUGAUUUAGUGAGG